RNAcentral lists this long non-coding RNA (776 nucleotides) under Nicotiana benthamiana. RNAcentral's name for it is "long non-coding RNA (NBEN_LNC002742)". Lineage: Eukaryota; Viridiplantae; Streptophyta; Magnoliopsida; Solanales; Solanaceae. The record is from RNAcentral.
AAUUUUUCUCAAGGUCCAAUUUACUGAAUUGAGUCUACUAAGGUUACUGAGAGGACAUUGCAAAUUGGCAAAGCAGAAGACGAUUCUGAUGGUCUUUUAUGAUUAUCUAAUUCUGUAUAAGGAUGAUUUUCUCUUAAGUUAUCAGUUAAGAGUCUAUUAGCUCAUGAAAUUAACUAAUAACAUGAUGUAAAGUUAUAACCAAUCCUCUUGUAAAUAGGCUGCAUUCUCGUACAGUUCAUAAAGAAAAACCAGGUCAAACUGCACGCAUCACACAAUCAACUUUUUAGGAUAGUAGGUCUAAAGUAGUUACAUGUGAGUCUGUGACGAUAUAUUUCUAUGUACAGAAGCAGGUUAGUGAGACCAGAACACAUAAUGUACCCCGGUCUAGCAUAAACUCCUUGGAACAAGCAUGCAGUUAUGUCUUCAGUCAACAGACUGCUGAUGCGAGGAGAUAGAUGACUUCUAAUAAUUCCUGUUUAGUGCCGAGCUGUAAUGCAUAUUUUUCAGACGCCACAAUCUGGAGACCCUUGCGCUGGAGUUCCAAUACAAUCUACAUAAGCUUUAAUUUACGCUGGCCACGCUCGUGCGCUUCUUUAACCCUUCAAGAAUACGUAUUUUGGUGACAUGAAGCAAUUAGGAUACACACAUUUGCCUCAUUGGAGUUAGAAGCCUUGCAAAUCGGAGGGGAACAUGUGCUCUCACCAGAGUUCCUUUCUCAGUGUAUUCCUAUAAAAUCAAAAAGAAUAAAGGAUGAAAAUUCUGUCUUUAAUGUUUAU